Long non-coding RNA from Dreissena polymorpha, 7383 nucleotides. RefSeq lists it as uncharacterized. Lineage: Eukaryota; Metazoa; Mollusca; Bivalvia; Myida; Dreissenidae. The transcript is spliced from 5 exons. The record is from RefSeq and is a predicted model, not a curated record.
CACAUUCCUUGGAUGCCCUAAGGUCUUUCUAUCUGUUCCAAAAGGUCUUAUACUCACAAGUUCAAGCCCAGUAGCGAUGUCCACAUUAUCAAACUCUGCAUCUCAAUAGAAACCCGGAUAGCAAGGCGUUGAGUUUGUUCUUGAAGCAUUUGCACCAGGAGCAGUCAUCAUCUUGAUAUUCUGGAAUCUCCAUGGAGAAGGAACCUCAGUCUGUGAAUGAAAGGCAGAGCAAACCUCAGAUGCCUUUUGACGAAAUCAAACCAUCCAAUCAGAAACACAGACUGUUGCAGCAGUUUUCACCAUAUUGACCCCAGUCAAACCUAAGAAGCUCAGUGAUAAAAACUGAUUUAUCACAACAAUUCAAGUGGAAAGCCACAUGUCAACAACUACAUGUUGUAUGUUGCCAGCCAAGUUGUAUUGAAAGACAAACAAUACUUUAUGCUCUAUUGUGUAUGUGACCAGCCAAGUUGUAUUCAAAGAAAAAGUCAAAAACAAUAGUUUACGUUUUAUUUUUUAUGUGACCAACCAAGUUGUUUGUAUAGGUCCGUGGUUUAGCAAAGCAUUUAAAGUAUUUUUAAAAGCACACAUAUUGCAUGUCUGUUCAAUGUCUUUGCCUGUAUUAUGAAACUUUCACUACAGAUGUUGAUCCUGAUGAUGAUAAAUAAAUGGGAAAUACAAUGUUAUCAAAGAUUUGUUAAGAUUGCCAAAGCUGUUUAAAUGAUGCUGGUAAUUUGAACAAAAUUGAAAAAAACAUUGGAGUGUUUUCAUGUUAUAAGACAUGUUUCAGUUGUCUGUUUUUAACCCGUUAAUACAGAUAAGCUAAUGAAAAAUAUUUGUUCAAAAAGAUGUAAAAUGUUUACGCUUCAGAUUUUUGUCUAUCAACCUUCUGAAAACAAUACUAGUCAAUUGGCUCAUUUGGGUCGGUAUUCCAUCAUGAAUCUUUUUUAGUAGCAUACUAUGUAUUUCAUGGGAAAAUAAAUAAAUUCUGGGCAAAAUUAUCUACCUUAAAUAAUCGAUUCUGUAUUUACUACUGGUACUUUGUUGAUUUCAGUGGAUAUUGUUUGUUAAAUGAUUAUAGUAUGACUCUUGUUGAAAAGCUUUAAAUGAAACUGUGAAUUAAAAAAUAAAUAUUUAAUUUGUUUUAGAGUUUAAUGAAAAAUGGCAAAAGAUUGAUAAGUUGUGUUGUUAUAUCAUAUACUAACAUGGUCAUAAGUGUUAAAAUUUGUUUUCAGACGUAAAAGUUUAUUAUGCUUUAUAUUUGUAUAUGUACAUAAAGACGACCAGAUUGUAUCCUCUUUAAUCAGUGAGUAACUUAAUCAAGAUUUCUUGAUCACUGUUUCAAGUGUAUAUUUUGCCAUUUAUAAGUAGAUCAACUGUAAAACAAUUGUAUUUUAAAUGUAAUGUAUUCAUGUAUUGUUGCCAUUUUUAUGUCCCCCACUAUAUUAGUAGGGGACAUAUUGUUUUUGCCCUGUCUGUUGGUUGGUUGGCCUGUUGGUUGGUCUGUUGGUUGGUCUGUUGGUUUGUACCAACUUUAACAUUUGCAAUAACUUUUGCAAUAUUGAAGAUAGCAACUUGAUAUUUGGCAUGCAUAUGUAUCUCAUGAAGCUGCACAUUUUGAGUGGUGAAAGGUCAAGGUCAUCCUUCAAGGUCAAAGGUCAAAUAUAUGGGUCAAAAUCGCUUAUUUAAUGUACACUUUUGCAAUAUUUCAAUAUUCAAGAUAGCAACUUGAUAUUUGGCAUGCAUGUGUAUCUCAUGGAGCUGCACAUUUUGAGUGGUAAAAGGUCAAGGUCAUCCUUCAAGGUCAGAGGUCAAAUAUAUGUGGCCAAAAUCGCUCAUUUCAUGAUUACUUUUGCAAUAUUGAAGAUAGCAACUUGAUAUUUGGCAUGCAUGUGUAUCUCAUGGAGCUGCACAUUUUGAGUGGUCAAGGUCAAGGUCAUCCUUCAAGGUCAAAUAUAUGGGUCAAAAUUGCUUAUGUAAUGUCACUUCUGCAAUAUUGAAGCUAGCAAUUUUAUAUUUGAAAUGCAUGUGUAUCUCAUGUAGCUGCACAUUUUGAGUGGUGAAGGAUCGAGGUCAAGGUCAUCCUUCAAGGUCAAACGUCAUAUAGGGGGACAUUGUGUUUCACAAACACAUCUUUUUUUCUACCGGUAUAUGAUGCCCAGCAAAGUACAUACAAAGUCUAUGACUGUAAGUUAGAAUUUGCCAACCAAGUAAUAGGAACAGUCAAUGUUUGGCUACAAAAUGAUCCUGAUGUUUUUUCAGUUAAUCAGUUACAUUAUUAGUUGGCAUCUGUAUUAUUGUGGUAUCUCUGCUAAAAAAUUGUGUGUGUAAUAGCCAAUUUCGGCCGCAGUCCCCCACCUGAAAAGUAUACUUUUUUCCCCUUUUGGGGGAAAGAAUUCGCCCUGAAAAAGAAUUUUUAUGUCCCCCACUAUAGUAGUGGGGAACAUAUUGUUUUUGCCCUGUCUGUUGGUUGGUCUGUUUGCGCCAACUUUAACAUUUUGCAAUAACUUUUGCUAUAUUGAAGAUAGCAACUUGAUAUUUGGCAUGCAUGUGUAUCUCAUAGAGUUGCACAUUUUGAGUGGUGAAAGGUCAAGGUCAUCCUUCAAGGUCAGAGGUCAAAUAUAUAUGUGGCCAAAAUCGCUCAUUUUAUGAAUACUUGUGCAAUAUUGAAGAUAGCAACUUGAUAUAUGGCAUGCAUGUGUAUCUCAUGGAGCUGCACAUUUUGAGUGGUAAAAGGUCAAGGUCAUCCUUUAAGGUCAGAGGUCAAAUAUAUGUGGCCCAAAUCGCUUAUUUUAUGAAUACUUUUGCAAUAUUGAAGAUAGCACCUUGAUAUUUGGCAUGCAGGUGUAUCUCAUGUAGCUGCACAUUUUGAGUGUUGAAAGGUCAAGGUCAUCCUUCAAGGUCCUCAUCCUUCAAGGUCAAAGGUCAAAUAUAUGGGUCAAAAUCGCUCAUUUAAUGUACACUUUUGCAAUAUUUCAAUAUUCAAAAUAGCAACUUGAUGUUUGGCAUGCAUGUGUAUCUCAUGGAGCUGCACAUUUUGAGUGGUGAAAGGUCAAGGUCAUCCUUCAAGGUCAGAGGUCAAAUAUAUGUGGCCAAAAUCGCAAAUUUCUGAGUACUUUUGCAAUAUUGAAGAUAGCAACUUGAUAUUUGGCAUGCAUGUGUAUCUCAUGGAGCUGCACAUUUUGAGUGGUGAAAGGUCAAGGUCAUCCUUCAAGGUCAAAUAUAUGGGUCAAAAUUGCUCAUGUAAUGUCACUUCUUCAAUAUUGAAGCUAGCAAUUUUAUAUUUGACAUGCAUGUGUAUCUCAUGGAGCUGCACAUUUUGAGUUGUGAAGGGUCAAGGUCAAGGUCAUCCUUCAAGGUCAAACGUCAUAUACAAGGACAUGAUGUUUCACAAUGGUCUGUUGGUUUGCGCCAAUUUUAACCAUUGCAAUAACUUUUGCAAAAUUGAAGAUAGCAACUUGAUAUUUGGCACGCAUAUGUAUCUCAUGGAGCUGCACAUUUUGAGUGGUGAAAGGUCAAGGUCAAGGUCAUCCUUCAGGGUCAAAGGUCAAAUAUAUGGGUCAAAAUCGCUCAUUUAAUGUACACUUUUGUAAUAUUUCAAUAUUCACGAUAGCAACUUGAUGUUUGGCAUGCACGUGUAUCUCAUGGAGCUGCACGUUUUGAGUGGUGUAAGGUCAAGGUCAUCCUUCAAGGUCAGAGGUCUAAUAUAUAUGGCCAAAGUCGCUCAUUUUUAAGGUCAUAUUUCAAGGUCAAAGGUCAAAUAUAUGGGAGGACAUAGUGCUUCACAAGCAAAUCUUGUUAUAAGAUAAACUCACUGUUAACAUUACUUUGUACAAGCCAUUGUUAUAAAAAUCAUUUCUUGUGUCAAUGCUAAAAUAUGUAUUAAAUUGUUAAAAUAAUGCACAGUAACAACUUCUGAAGAGAAAAAUAUACUUAAGGCAAUAGAAACACAUUGUUAUAUGAAAUGCUUUUUAUUAAGAACACCUACUUAAAAUUUGUUUAAUUUUGUUUUACAUUAUCUGAAGAAAAAAUAGUACCUUGUAAUUUGAAAUCAGUCAAUGAAAAAUUAAGGGAGUGUUGCCAUAUGCUAACAAUAGUCAAGAAGUGCAAUUGUCUCUAUUGGUAAUACAACAGAGCAAUACAAUUUGCUUAAACAAGAUUACAGCAUAAAGGGUGCCAUUCUUGGCUACGGGUGCAGUUUUGAAUACCAACCAAGCAGUGGUCUAAUGGUAAGAUGCUGGCUUAGGGAUCGAGAGGUCCCGGGUUCGAAUCCCGCCCUGACCGCUGGAAUUUCCUUGAGCAAGAAAUUUAUACCACAACUGCUCCUCUCCACCUAGGUGUAUAAAUGGGUACCUGUGAGGGAAAUAAGCCAAUGUGCCGUGACUGCAUACUGCGCCAAGAUGUUAACGGACGACUUAUGACCCAGUGAUCAGGGAAAAACUGUAAAGCGCCUUUGAACGCACAUCUCGAGUAUGAAAAGGGCGCUAUAUAAAUGUGGUAUAAAAAAAAAAGAAUAAAUGAAAGCUUAUCAGAAUUAAUUUGAGAAGUCACAGUGACUUGACCAUUGACCUAGUGACCCCAAAACUGGUGUGGUGUGUAGAACUCAUCAAUGUGCAUCUACAUAUGAAGUUUGAAAGUUGUAGUUGGAAGCACUUUGAUUUUAGAGCCAAUGUUAAGGUUUUAGCACGACGCAGACGGCGGACGACACGACGAACUGGCUACGACAAUACCUCGGGUUUUCUCCGUUUAUACCGAGCUAAAAAUAAAAACUAAGAUGUCUGCUUUGCAAUUUCUUCAAAAAAUAGACACUUAUGAAUGUGCUUAUAUUAAACGUGAACAGUAUUGACAUAUUGCUUACGAUAACGUUUGACAUUUUAUUAGUUUUGUAAUAGCGUGUUUGACCUUUCGCAUUGACCAUCCCACAAUCCCACAUUUGCUUACAGUGGGGCCAGGUUCUGUAAAUCUUCCACAACAAGUUCAGCAAAUGUUUUAUGACCAGAUUUCCUCAUAUUUGGGAGUGUUUAUAUUUAACUUUUAUUGAAUGCAUAAAACACGUUUGUUCUGUUUUUGAAUAGCUGAAAAUAGCUUGAUGUUUGUAAAUUGUGUGACAUGUUGAUCAAAUUGAUACAUAGAAAAAAAAACAUUUUGCAUUUAUUUGUAUUUGUAGCUAAGCAACACUUGUUACCAAAUACAAAUUUAAGUAUUUGGUAUAAAUAUAUAAUGAUUUGCUAUAUUCGUAAUAUCGUAUGAAAUGCAAUUUUAAUUAUAAUGUGUUAAUAUGUUUGUCGACUCCAAAUAAUUAUUGUAUAUAAGUAAAUAUAGGGUAAAAAUGUCUAUGGAAAGUAUCCGUAGGCACGUUUCAAUUGCUUGUGUACCUCAUAUGGAUCAGGGUCUUUCUAAAUUAUUGCAUGAGUGUUAAUGCCUAUGUCUGAUUGUGUAAAUAUCUUCAAAUAUAUUUGUUAAGAGGAUUUUAAUAUUAAAAGAUAAACUAGUAUCUAAACUUUAACCGUGCAUCUUUUGCAUUUAUUUUAACGUGUUUAUAUUGUUUGGCUUACAGAGUUUAAUAUUGUCUAUAUUCGUGCGUACUUUUAUUGUGAUUGAUUUGGUAAGACAAAGUGCAUAUCACUAAUGCUGUUGUUUUUGUUUUAUGUUAUAUGUAAAUAAUUAAACAUGUUUUUUUGGUGAUAUGUAUUUCCAAAUCUAAGUGUGUUGUUGCAUUCUCAAUAAAGUACAUAGCCAUACACGUGGAAUAGUAUUGCUAAGUGACAAUUUGUUGUCUUUACAAAUAAAAUCCGCAAGAAUUGUCGUUUCAAUUAUAUAUAGCUUUCCCCUAUUGAACCUGGGUAAAAACGUGACCGUGAGCUCAUUUUGUUUUAUGUUGACUGCCAAUAUAAUUAUAUAUAUAUAUAUAUAUAUAUAUAUAUAUAUAUAUAUAUAUAUAUAUAUAGAGAGAGAGAGAGAGAGAGAAAGAAAUUGUUCAAAAGGUGUAUCUUAUACCCUAGCGCUUUCGACUACACGUCUUCUUCAGGGGUGUAUACAGAUAUAUAUGAGUCCCCAGUGCGAAUGCACAAUAGAGGUUAACUUAUUGGCUUUCAGUCUUUGUUUUUUUUAGUUAUAUGUCGUUUUAUAUUUUUUAUUUUUUAUUUAUGCAUAUUAAAAUUGUGUUAUAGACUGACGCCCGUAAUAUAAUUUAUAUCGAUGUUAUAAUAAAAAAUAUUAUAAUUUGCAGUGAACGUUUUGCAUUCAGUAUUGUGUCAUAUUUAUGCCCCCCUUCGAAGAAGAGGGGGUAUAUUGCUUUGCACAUGUCGGUCUGUGGGUCCAUCCACCAGGUGGUUUCGGGAUGAUAACUCAAGAACGCUUGUGCCUAGGAUCAUGAAACUUCAUAGGUUCAUUGAUCAUGACUCGCAGAUGACCCCUAUUGAUUUUGAUGUCACUAGGUCAAAUGUCAAGGUCACAGUGACCCGAAAUAGUAAAAUGGUUUCCGGAUGAUAACUCAAGAACGCUUAGGCCUAGGAUCAUGCAACUUGAUAGGUAGAUUCAUCAUGACUCGCAGAUGACCCCUAUCGAUUUUCAGGUCACUAGCACAAAGGUCAAGGUCACAGUGACCCGAAAUAGUAAAAUGGUUUCCGGAUGAUAACUCAAGAACGCUUAUGCCUAGGAUCAUGAAACUUCAUAGUACAUUGAUCAUGACUCGCAGAUGACCCCUAUUGAUUUUAAGGUCACAAGGUCAAAGGUCAAGGUCACGGUGACCAGAAAUAGUAAAAUGGUUUCCGGAUGAUUACUCAAGAAUGCUAAUUGCUACGAUCAUAAAACUUCAUAGGUACAUUGAUUAUGACUCGCAGAUGACCCCUAUCGAUAUUGAGGUCACUAGGUCAAAGGUCAAGUUCACGGUGACCCGAAAUAGUAAAAUGGUUUCCAGAUGAUAACUGAAGAACGCUUAUUCCUAGGAUCAUGAAACUUGAUAGGUAGAUUGACCAUGACUCGCAGAUGUCCCGUUUUGAUUUUCAGGUCACUAGGUUAAAGGUCAAGGUCACGUUGACUCGAAAUAGUAAAAUGGUUUCCGGAUGAUAACUCAAGAACGCUUAUGGCUAGGAUCAUGAAACUUGAUAGGUACAUUGAUCAUGACUGGCAGAUGAGCCAUAUUGAUUUUCAGGUCGCUAGGUCAAAGGUCAAGGUCACAGUGACAUAAAACAUAUUCACACAAUGGCUGUCACUACAACAGAGAUCCCAUAUGGGGGUCAUGCAUGUUUUACAAACAGCCCUUGUUAUUUUUCGUUUUAUGAUUAUGUACAUACACUUAUUAUAAUUGUGUGUUAUAAAAUGGCGCUUAAAAUGUUUAUUAUAUCGAUAUAACGUUUAAAUGAUUAAAAUGGAAGUUAGAAUUUA